CAAUAGCGUAUAUUAAAGUUGUUGCAGUUAAAAAGCUCGUAGUUGGAUUUCGGGGUGGCCUGCCUGGUCCACCGCAAGGUGAGUACUGGUCAGCCGCCCUUCCUCUCGAAAGCCCCGACUGCUCUUCAUUGCAGUGGUCGGGUAGUUCGGGACGUUUACUUUGAAAAAAUUAGAGUGUUCAAGGCAGGCUAUCGCCUGAAUACAUUAGCAUGGAAUAAUGGAAGAGGACCUCGGUCCUAUUUUGUUGGUUUCUAGGGCCGAAGUAAUGAUUAAGAGGGACAGUUGGGGGCAUUCGUAUUUAAUUGUCAGAGGUGAAAUUCUUGGAUUUAUGGAAGACGAACUAGUGCGAAAGCAUUUGCCAAGGAUGUUUUCAUUAA
RNAcentral lists this ribosomal RNA (377 nucleotides) under uncultured eukaryote. RNAcentral's name for it is "partial 18S ribosomal RNA". It matches the Rfam family "Eukaryotic small subunit ribosomal RNA", at positions 592 to 976 of the family's 1831-position model. The record is from RNAcentral.